UGGAACUUGUCGGAGUGCUUAGUACUUACACAUAAAGUACGAGCUGAGACCGCAAUGCGGGAUCCGUGGAACCUGAUUAGGUUAAUACCUACGAAGGGAACAAGAGAAAACCUAAC
Molecule: non-coding RNA, 116 nt
Filed under: Aliivibrio fischeri
Lineage: Bacteria; Pseudomonadati; Pseudomonadota; Gammaproteobacteria; Vibrionales; Vibrionaceae
Also listed under: 1 other name
Description: Vibrio genomosp. TPP sequence
Rfam family: TPP riboswitch aptamer (THI element)
About the family: Vitamin B(1) in its active form thiamin pyrophosphate (TPP) is an essential coenzyme that is synthesised by coupling of pyrimidine and thiazole moieties in bacteria. The previously detected thiamin-regulatory element, thi box was extended, resulting in a new, highly conserved RNA secondary structure, the THI element, which is widely distributed in eubacteria and also occurs in some archaea. Analysis of operon structures identified a large number of new candidate thiamin-regulated genes, mostly transporters, in various prokaryotic organisms.
Source: RNAcentral